This 501-nucleotide ribosomal RNA is filed under the name uncultured bacterium. RNAcentral's name for it is "partial 16S ribosomal RNA". It matches the Rfam family "Bacterial small subunit ribosomal RNA", at positions 30 to 523 of the family's 1533-position model. The record is from RNAcentral.
AUUGAACGCUGGCGGCAGGCUUAACACAUGCAAGUCGAGCGGAGAUGAGGUGCUUGCACCUUAUCUUAGCGGCGGACGGGUGAGUAAUGCUUAGGAAUCUGCCUAUUAGUGGGGGACAACAUUCCGAAAGGAAUGCUAAUACCGCAUACGUCCUACGGGAGAAAGCAGGGGAUCUUCGGACCUUGCGCUAAUAGAUGAGCCUAAGUCGGAUUAGCUAGUUGGGGGGGUAAAGGCCUACCAAGGCGACGAUCUGUGGCGGGUCUGAGAGGAUGAUCCGCCACACUGGGACUGAGACACGGCCCAGACUCCUACGGGAGGCAGCAGUGGGGAAUAUUGGACAAUGGGGGGAACCCUGAUCCAGCCAUGCCGCGUGUGUGAAGAAGGCCUUAUGGUUGUAAAGCACUUUAAGCGAGGAGGAGGCUACUGAGACUAAUACUCUUGGAUAGUGGACGUUACUCGCAGAAUAAGCACCGGCUAACUCUGUGCCAGCAGCCGCGGUAA